UAAAAGGCUCUUUUAAGAGCCACCCACUCCUUCCUCAAAGAGCUUU
Molecule: regulatory RNA element, 46 nt
Organism: Gasterosteus aculeatus (three-spined stickleback)
Lineage: Eukaryota; Metazoa; Chordata; Actinopteri; Perciformes; Gasterosteidae
Rfam family: Histone 3' UTR stem-loop
About the family: The mRNAs of metazoan histone genes lack a poly-A tail. 3' end processing occurs at a site between a highly conserved stem-loop (modelled by this family) and a purine rich region around 20 nts downstream (the histone downstream element, or HDE).
Source: Rfam